Long non-coding RNA from Cynara cardunculus var. scolymus (artichoke), 957 nucleotides. RefSeq lists it as uncharacterized. The transcript is spliced from 5 exons. The record is from RefSeq and is a predicted model, not a curated record. NCBI's taxonomy places the organism in Eukaryota, Viridiplantae, Streptophyta, Magnoliopsida, Asterales, Asteraceae.
GAAGCUACGAUCGACUCACCUGCACGAAGCUACGAUCGAUGCUCCCCUGUAACUACGUACGAAGCUACGAUCGGUAAUUUUGAAGGAACUCAGGAAGUUGAUCGACUCCUCCUUCUCCCUCACUGUUUGCAAUCGAUCGACUCUACCCUGAAAUCUCAAAGCAUCAGACGACGAUCCUUCUGCUUAUAGCUCCAUCAUCAAGAAGGUUUUCCAACUUAAAUUGUUCCUCUUCCCCCACAAAGAAAACGAGCCCAGAUCGUCUUCCGACCUCCGGCUCCUGCUGCUGCUUUACUUCCUUCACCAGAGAAUCAGUUUUAGAUGGAAACUGAAGAUUUUAGAAAUCUUUGAGGUAAAGGUUGUUUCUCACCCAACUAACUGCCGUUGCUUGUGUAAGGGUUGGUCUGAAGCCUGCAACAUAUAGAAGUGACUGCAAAGGAAGAAGGAAUAAAAGGAAGAAGCUGAAUGAUAGGCUCUUUGCACUUAGGGCAGUGGUCCCUAAUAUUAGUAAGGUCUUACUGCCUAAGAAUAGCAGUAUCAUGGGGAUGGCUUUCUGUAUUAGAGAAGAGAAUUUUUGAAAAAGUUUGAUGAAAUGAAGGUUGGUCUAGCAAGGGAAUUCAAGGCAGAAAAUAAGAAGGUACGGGAGGAAAUGUCGAUAGAAAGACUAAGAUAUUUGGAAGCCACUGCAAUUUACUAUGAAGCAAUUGGCAUGGUUGAAGAUUACCAACAGGCUGUUUUAGUGGCCAAUCUUGGAGGCAUUCGAGAGACACAUGGUCUACACUCCAAUCUUGGCCUCAAGAAUUCUCCUCAGGUCUAAUUAUAAAUGUUUUAGGUUUCAAUUUAUCUAGUUUUACAUAUUUUGUUCUUAGUUUCAUCAUAUUUGAUGCAAACAAAAUGUUAUUAUCAUUUCGAGGUGGAUAUGCGAGGAAUCUAAGAACUAGAAAGAGAGAUGUCAAGUUU